This is a non-coding RNA of Triticum urartu, 2365 nucleotides long. The record is from RefSeq and is a predicted model, not a curated record. Lineage: Eukaryota; Viridiplantae; Streptophyta; Magnoliopsida; Poales; Poaceae.
UAUUUUUUUCAUGUGAAUAAGGUAGGGGUUUGUCCCGAAUCGGUGGAAAUCCAUCAACUAUCCCCCUUCCGCCGCCGCCACCGCCACCGCUUCCAACAUUGGGCGCAACUGUCCCUUCCGCCGCCGCCCUUCCCCGGUGCGGCGACGCCACCCCGCUCCACCAGGAGCCCAGGACCGGCGGGCUGGGGCCUCCCCGUACGAACGCGCCAGCGCUACUGCGUGCUGGUCCAGCAACCCCAGCCGUCCAGGGGACGCCAUCGCCACCGCCUGGUCUCCAGCAUCCAGCUACUCCAGCCGUCCCUCCGGUUGCCUCCCUCCUCUCCACACUCCAGACAGGACGACCGGCGGUCGCCUCCCUCUAGUCCUGACCAGGACGCUGUGUAUCGAUGGAUUUAUAAUCUAUAAAGGAGCUAUUGCUUUCUCCUAGACCAAGUGAGGAAUACUUGGCUGGUGUAGCUGGUUUUCUUGACUUUGCAUACAUCGGGAAAAGUUCUGAUGCCAAGAUCCUUUGCCCAUGCAUCAUAUGUGUCAAUGGAUCGUUACGGAAGCGGGAGGACGUGUAUGAUCACUUGGAUAUACUGUUUGGGGUUGCCAUGGGGAAACAACAUCAUUCAUCUCUGCUAACAAACAAGGUGAAACUCCAACACACAUGAGAAGUAACAAAAGGUCACGAUCACAGUUUGAAGGAACAAAAUCUAAUAUGCGACAGUUAGUGGAAGAUGUUUUCUGUGGACCUCCAAUGAUAGAACCUGAAACCCAAAAUCCAUCUAAACCAGGACCAUACCCUGAAUCCCAAGCUUUCUAUGACCUUUUGAGAGAUGCAGAUCAACCUUUAUGGCCAGGCUGUGAACUAUCCAUACUUUCUCUUGUUGUUAUUCUCUUCCACAUAAAAGCCACUAACAAGUGGAGCAAUAAAUCUUUAAAUGAUCUGGUAGCAGUUCUGCAGAAAGCAAUUCUAAUGGUAAGAACUUACCUAGUACAUUUUCUGACGCGAAGAAGAUCGUUGGAAAGCUUGGGCUUAGUUAUGUGAGAAUUCAUUCUUGUGAAAAUAACUGCCAGCUUUAUCGAAAAGAGAAAGCGAGUGAUGAUUUUUGUUCAGUGUGUGGAACUUCAAGGUGGAAGAACAUACCAUAUAAAACUACUUUGACUAUAAGAAGGAAAGAAGGAAGGCAAUCCCAAGGAAGGUGUUAUGGUACUUUCCAAUUAAGCCAAGGCUUAAGAGGCUUUUCAUGCACAAAGAUACAGCUACAGCUUUAAGAUGGCAUGACCAAGAACGCACAAAGGUUGGAGCAUUGCAUCAUUUAGCUGAUUCAGAGGCUUGGAAGGCCAUUGAUUCCAAGUAUAAACACAUCGCAUCAAAUUCCCGGAACAUGAGGUUUGGAAUAGGAGCCGAUCAAGUGUUUUACCUAGAAGACGAACUGAACCCAGGUUGGUCAGUGGUGAUGUAGAAUAAACUACCUAGAGAUAGAUGUGACACUGGAACUGAUGAAUGCACACGAGACGUAGAAGCUGAGCCAUUCCAUGUUUCUCACCUCACAGAUAUGUUUAAAAAGAAAAGGAAAUAUCAACAUUGGGUAAGAUCCGAUAUUGAGGGAACAAUUGUCGGUGCUAAUGAUAAUGCUUUGAUCGAUGAAGAACAGUGAUGAUACAUCAUAUAAAGAUUGUUGGCUGAGCUUACACCCUUCAGAAAAUUCGAAGGAAUGAGGAAAUUUUGCAAGUGAAGAUUACAAGGAUUGUUCUAAACUGAUGGAUGAAGCAAUGUGUUCUUUUAGCGGGCUUUUAUAUGUUUGCAUAGUUUUUGCACUUCAAACAUGAAGCUUGGAAAAAUUCAGAAAAUUGUUACUAAAGUUAAGCUUCAUGUAUGACAAAUUGUCAUUGGAAAUAGAUACACUUUUGUCGAAGAAGUAUUAUGUUAGAUUUACCAUCUUGUAAACUUAGUUUAUGUCUGUUUGAAAUUGGCGUUUUGAUUUAUGUGGGAUGCUUGUUUGCUGUCAAAACCUGAUUCAAUAUUUCCUUUGUUGUUGUGAACCAGCCAUUGCACGUGUUACUUCUGUUGCUUGCACUUGCAGCUAGGUGCUAGCUGUUUUGCCUGUUGCUUACACUUGCAGCUGGUUGCUAGCCAUCUUGCCGCUCUGAUCGGGUGCCUAACUAUUGAUGAUAUGCAAGGUGAUCUGCAGAUAUAGCUAGACCCCUAGUAUAGUCCUGAGCUGGUAUUAUGCCUCUUGAUUUUGUUUUGACUGGGUUUUUUGUUAGUACUCUGAUGUACCAUUUGCCUGUUGAGUGAAUGUUGGUUCACUUGCCUGCAGUUGAUACCUAAAAGAAAUAUUUAUGUUAAUCCUUAACGCCGUGAGUGGUAGUUUUUUUA